GAUGGUUCGAUUAGUCUUUCGCCCCUAUACCCAGUUCAUACGAUCGAUUUGCACGUCAGAAUCGCUACGGACCUCCAUCAGGGUUUCCCCUGACUUCAUCCUGACCAGGCAUAGUUCACCAUCUUUCGGGUCCCAGCGUGUACGCUCUUGGUGCGCCGCAACUUGCAAUAAGUAUGCGACGCCCCGGGAAUGCGAGGUAACAUAAAUAACGUUACCCAUCUUCCCUUUAUAAAAUAGAAUUAUAAAAAUUAUAUAUAUAUAUUUACUUUCAUUGCGCCUUUAGGUUUAUUAUAAAUACCCAAUGACUUGCGCACAUGCUAGAUG
This 324-nucleotide ribosomal RNA is filed under the name Blackburnia erro. RNAcentral describes it as "partial 28S ribosomal RNA". Lineage: Eukaryota; Metazoa; Arthropoda; Insecta; Coleoptera; Carabidae. The record is from RNAcentral.